AUCCAGACUCCUACGGGAGGCAGCAGUGGGGAAUAUUGCACAAUGGGGGAAACCCUGAUGCAGCGACGCCGCGUGAGCGAUGAAGUAUUUCGGUAUGUAAAGCUCUAUCAGCAGGGAAGAAGAUGACGGUACCUGACUAAGAAGCCCCGGCUAACUACGUGCCAGCAGCCGCGGUAAUACGUAGGGGGCAAGCGUUAUCCGGAUUUACUGGGUGUAAAGGGAGCGUAGACGGCGAUGCAAGCCAGAUGUGAAAGCCCGGGGCUCAACCCCGGGACUGCAUUUGGAACUGUGUGGCUGGAGUGUCGGAGAGGCAGGCGGAAUUCCUAGUGUAGCGGUGAAAUGCGUAGAUAUUAGGAGGAACACCAGUGGCGAAGGCGGCCUGCUGGACGAUGACUGACGUUGAGGCUCGAAAGCGUGGGGAGCAAACAGGAUUAGAUACCCUGGUAC
Molecule: ribosomal RNA, 447 nt
Filed under: uncultured bacterium
Lineage: Bacteria
Description: bacterial SSU rRNA
Rfam family: Bacterial small subunit ribosomal RNA
Source: RNAcentral